This 516-nucleotide ribosomal RNA is filed under the name uncultured bacterium. Its description in RNAcentral is "partial 16S ribosomal RNA". It matches the Rfam family "Bacterial small subunit ribosomal RNA", at positions 28 to 523 of the family's 1533-position model. The record is from RNAcentral.
GAUGAACGCUGGCGGCGUGCCUAAUACAUGCAAGUCGAGCGAAUGGAUUAAGGGCUUGCUCUUAUGAAGUUAGCGGCGGACGGGUGAGUAACACGUGGGUAACCUGCCCAUAAGACUGGGAUAACUCCGGGAAACCGGGGCUAAUACCGGAUAACAUUUUGAACCGCAUGGUUCGAAAUUGAAAGGCGGCUUCGGCUGUCACUUAUGGAUGGACCCCCGUCGCAUUAGCUAGUUGGUGAGGUAACGGCUCACCAAGGCAACGAUGCGUUAGCCGACCUGAGAGGGUGAUCGGCCACACUGGGACUGAGACACGGCCCAGACUCCUGCGGGAGGCAGCAGUAGGGAAUCUUCCGCAAUGGACGAAAGUCUGACGGAGCAACGCCGCGUGAGUGAUGAAGGCUUUCGGGUCGUAAAACUCUGUUGUUAGGGAAGAACAAGUGCUAGUUGAAUAAGCUGGCACCUUGACGGUACCUAACCAGAAAGCCACGGCUAACUACGUGCCAGCCGCCGCAGUAA